GCCGGCAUAGCUCAGAUGGUAGAGCAGCUGAUUUGUAAUCAGCAGGCCACGGGUUCGAUUCCUGUUGCCGGCUCCA
Molecule: transfer RNA, 76 nt
Filed under: Mariprofundus ferrooxydans
Lineage: Bacteria; Pseudomonadati; Pseudomonadota; Candidatius Mariprofundia; Mariprofundales; Mariprofundaceae
Also listed under: 4 other names
Description: tRNA-Thr
Rfam family: tRNA
About the family: Transfer RNA (tRNA) molecules are approximately 80 nucleotides in length.
Source: RNAcentral